AGUGAACGCUGGCGGUAGGCCUAACACAUGCAAGUCGAACGGCAGCACAGUAAGAGCUUGCUCUUACGGGUGGCGAGUGGCGGACGGGUGAGGAAUACAUCGGAAUCUACUUUUUCGUGGGGGAUAACGUAGGGAAACUUACGCUAAUACCGCAUACGACCUACGGGUGAAAGCAGGGGAUCUUCGGACCUUGCGCGAUUGAAUGAGCCGAUGUCGGAUUAGCUAGUUGGCGGGGUAAAGGCCCACCAAGGCGACGAUCCGUAGCUGGUCUGAGAGGAUGAUCAGACACACUGGAAGUGAGACACGGUCCAGACUCCUACGGGAGGCAGCAGUGGGGAAUAUUGGACAAUGGGCGCAAGCCUGAUCCAGCCAUACCGCGUGGGUGAAGAAGGCCUUCGGGUUGUAAAGCCCUUUUGUUGGGAAAGAAAAGCAGCAGGUUAAUACCCCGCUGUUCUGACGGUACCCAAAGAAUAAGCACCGGCUAACUUCGUG
This 492-nucleotide ribosomal RNA is filed under the name uncultured bacterium. RNAcentral's name for it is "partial 16S ribosomal RNA". It matches the Rfam family "Bacterial small subunit ribosomal RNA", at positions 29 to 507 of the family's 1533-position model. The record is from RNAcentral.